Molecule: ribosomal RNA, 657 nt
Filed under: Streptococcus infantarius
Lineage: Bacteria; Bacillati; Bacillota; Bacilli; Lactobacillales; Streptococcaceae
Description: bacterial SSU rRNA
Rfam family: Bacterial small subunit ribosomal RNA
Source: RNAcentral
GUGCCUAAUACAUGCAAGUAGAACGCUGAAGACUUUAGCUUGCUAAAGUUGGAAGAGUUGCGAACGGGUGAGUAACGCGUAGGUAACCUGCCUACUAGCGGGGGAUAACUAUUGGAAACGAUAGCUAAUACCGCAUAACAGCAUUUAACACAUGUUAGAUGCUUGAAAGGAGCAAUUGCUUCACUAGUAGAUGGACCUGCGUUGUAUUAGCUAGUUGGUGAGGUAACGGCUCACCAAGGCGACGAUACAUAGCCGACCUGAGAGGGUGAUCGGCCACACUGGGACUGAGACACGGCCCAGACUCCUACGGGAGGCAGCAGUAGGGAAUCUUCGGCAAUGGGGGCAACCCUGACCGAGCAACGCCGCGUGAGUGAAGAAGGUUUUCGGAUCGUAAAGCUCUGUUGUAAGAGAAGAACGUGUGUGAGAGUGGAAAGUUCACACAGUGACGGUAACUUACCAGAAAGGGACGGCUAACUACGUGCCAGCAGCCGCGGUAAUACGUAGGUCCCGAGCGUUGUCCGGAUUUAUUGGGCGUAAAGCGAGCGCAGGCGGUUUAAUAAGUCUGAAGUUAAAGGCAGUGGCUUAACCAUUGUUCGCUUUGGAAACUGUUAGACUUGAGUGCAGAAGGGGAGAGUGGAAUCCAUGUGUAGCGGUGAA